UAUUAACGAAAAAUUUUUCUUUCACUAAAAAUUAAAUAAAUUAUUUAUUUUUAUUAAAUAAAAUUAUUU
RNAcentral lists this transfer RNA (69 nucleotides) under Lycocerus asperipennis. RNAcentral describes it as "tRNA-Tyr". The record is from RNAcentral. Lineage: Eukaryota; Metazoa; Arthropoda; Insecta; Coleoptera; Cantharidae.